UACGGAGGGUGCGAGCGUUGUCCGGAAUCACUGGGCGUAAAGGGCGCGUAGGCGGCAUGCCAAGCGUGUGGUGAAAGCCCGGGGCUCAACCCCGGGUCGGCCGUGCGGACUGGCGUGCUCGAGCACUGUAGGGGCGGGUGGAAUUCCGGGUGUAGCGGUGGAAUGCGCAGAUAUCAGGAGGAACACCGAUGGCGAAGGCAGUGUUCUGGGCCAGUACUGACGCUGAGGAGCGAAAGCGUGGGGAGCAAACAGG
This 253-nucleotide ribosomal RNA is filed under the name uncultured bacterium. Its description in RNAcentral is "partial 16S ribosomal RNA". It matches the Rfam family "Bacterial small subunit ribosomal RNA", at positions 524 to 776 of the family's 1533-position model. The record is from RNAcentral.